GAACGCUGGCGGCGUGCCUAAUACAUGCAAGUCGAGCGGACUGAAUGGGAGCUUGCUCUUGUUCGGUCAGCGGCGGACGGGUGAGUAACACGUGGGCAACCUGCCCGCAAGACCGGGAUAACUCCGGGAAACCGGAGCUAAUACCGGAUAACACCGAAGACCGCAUGGUCUUUGGUUGAAAGGCGGCGCAAGCUGCCACUUGCGGAUGGGCCCGCGGCGCAUUAGCUAGUUGGUGAGGUAACGGCUCACCAAGGCGACGAUGCGUAGCCGGCCUGAGAGGGUGACCGGCCACACUGGGACUGAGACACGGCCCAGACUCCUACGGGAGGCAGCAGUAGGGAAUCUUCCGCAAUGGGCGAAAGCCUGACGGAGCGACGCCGCGUGAGCGAAGAAGGCCUUCGGGUCGUAAAGCUCUGUUGUGAGGGACGAAGGAGCGUCGUUCGAAGAAGGCGGCGCGGUGACGGUACCUCACGAGGAAGCCCCGGCUAACUACGUGCCAGCAGCCGCGGUAAUACGUAGGGGGCGAGCGUUGUCCGGAAUUAUUGGGCGUAAAGCGCGCGCAGGCGGUUCCUUAAGUCUGAUGUGAAAGCCCACGGCUCAACCGUGGAGGGUCAUUGGAAACUGGGGGACUUGAGUGCAGGAGAGGAGAGCGGAAUUCCACGUGUAGCGGUGAAAUGCGUAGAGAUGUGGAGGAACACCAGUGGCGAAGGCGGCUCUCUGGCCUGCAACUGACGCUGAGGCGCGAAAGCGUGGGGAGCNAACAGGAUUAGAUACCCUGGUAGUCCACGC
Molecule: ribosomal RNA, 789 nt
Filed under: Geobacillus sp. HET19
Lineage: Bacteria; Bacillati; Bacillota; Bacilli; Caryophanales; Anoxybacillaceae
Description: bacterial SSU rRNA
Rfam family: Bacterial small subunit ribosomal RNA
Source: RNAcentral